RNAcentral lists this ribosomal RNA (253 nucleotides) under uncultured bacterium. Its description in RNAcentral is "partial 16S ribosomal RNA". It matches the Rfam family "Bacterial small subunit ribosomal RNA", at positions 524 to 776 of the family's 1533-position model. The record is from RNAcentral.
UACAGGGGGGGCAAGCGUUGUUCGGAAUUACUGGGCGUAAAGGGCUCGUAGGCGGCCAACUAAGUCCGACGUGAAAUCCCAAAGCUUAACUUUGGAACUGCGUCGGAUACUGGAUGGCUUGAAUUCAGGAGAGGGAUGCAGAAUUCCAGGUGUAGCGGUGAAAUGCGUAGAUAUCUGGAGGAAUACCGGUGGCGAAGGCGGCAUCCUGGACCGACAUUGACGCUGAGGAGCGAAAGCUAGGGGAGCAAACGGG